GUCCACGCCUAACGAUGCACACUAGUUGUUGUGAGGCUAGACCUUGCAGUAAUGCAGUUAACACAUUAAGUGUGCCGCCUGGGAGUACGGUCGCAAGAUUAAACUCAAAGGAAUAGACGGGACCCGCACAAGCGGUGGAGCAUGUGGUUUAAUUCGACGAUACACGAAGAACCUUACCUGGACUUGACAUAGUAAGAACUUUCUAGAGAUAGAUUGGUGUCUGCUUGCAGAAACUUAUAUACAGGUGCUGCACGGCUGUCGU
Molecule: ribosomal RNA, 262 nt
Filed under: uncultured bacterium
Lineage: Bacteria
Description: partial 16S ribosomal RNA
Rfam family: Bacterial small subunit ribosomal RNA
Source: RNAcentral